CUGGAGGACGUCAGUUGCUGCUGUCUCCUCGCAGCACCGAGGUUUGGGCCUUAUUUUAGUUUUAAGCGCGGGCACCUGAGCCGGCUGGGGCGCUGAGGAACGCCUGCCGGAGGAGGGGGAGGCCGAAGUCCGAGGGGCUGGGGAGUCCCUUGGAGCUCGCGAGGGCCGAUCUGGAGCUACGCCGGGAGGGGCUUGGGCUGGACCUACGGGGGUCAGGGAGCGGAGGGCGCGUCGGAAGGGUGUGGAAGGCAAGAAUGGAUGGGACGCUGCGACGGCCGUCCCCUGACACAUGAGUGUGGAGUACCCACUACGUGUUGGGCCCUGUCAGGCUCUGCCCUCGUGGACCUUCCAUUCUAGUGGGACGCAGCCAAACGAGGACUCCCAGGUCCUGUUCCAGUCUGCGGAAUGUUGAGGGAGCAACAGUCCUGCCCAAAGACACUCGGCCCUCGGGAACGGUGGGUCUGCCUUGCAGCCAGACGCUGCGAAGUCCCUCUGGACUCUGCUAUGCAUCUACCACCUGGAAAGUUACCCAAACCUUCAUCCAACUGCUGUUUUCCGCCGACAAUUCUGGAUAUUUACCUCCUACACAAAGGUCCUAAAACCCUUCCCUCACUAGGGCAUGCCCCCUGCCACUGGUAUCCCACCACUCAGGCUCCUUUCUACACCACCCCCACAUUCCCCCGCCUCAGGUUCUGUCCCCUCCUGGGCGUGCCUUACCUUCGACUUCAGAUGAAGGCCACUGUCGCUUGGCUGCCCCUCUCUUUCCAUGGAGGCUCUCUGCAGGCUUAGUGUCCGGAGGCUUCUCAGACUCUUGAGAAUGCCUGCCCGUCGGCCUUUCCUUGGCCUUGGGAGCUGAACUGACGCGCCCCUUUUGCUCCUCACCUGAAACACACGGACAAUUAGUCCUACAGUUUACUGGAUCCCAGUCCUUCAGUUGGCUGCUUUGGCCCACAAUGAAACAAGGAAGCUCGCAA
Molecule: long non-coding RNA, 974 nt
Organism: Leopardus geoffroyi (Geoffroy's cat)
Lineage: Eukaryota; Metazoa; Chordata; Mammalia; Carnivora; Felidae
Exons: 2
Source: RefSeq, a predicted model, not a curated record